Molecule: ribosomal RNA, 1013 nt
Filed under: uncultured Lysobacterales bacterium
Lineage: Bacteria; Pseudomonadati; Pseudomonadota; Gammaproteobacteria; Lysobacterales
Description: bacterial SSU rRNA
Rfam family: Bacterial small subunit ribosomal RNA
Source: RNAcentral
GAGUUUGAUCGUGGCUCAGAGUGAACGCUGGCGGUAGGCCUAACACAUGCAAGUCGAACGGUAACAGGUCUUUCGGGAUGCUGACGAGUGGCGGACGGGUGAGGAAUACAUCGGAAUCUGCUCAGUCGUGGGGGAUAACGCAUGGAAACGUGCGCUAAUACCGCAUACGACCUUCGGGUGAAAGCAGGGGAAUCUUUAGGGAUCCUUGCGCGAUUGAAUGAGCCGAUGUCGGAUUAGCUAGUUGGUAGGGUAAAAGCCUACCAAGGCGACGAUCCGUAGCUGGUCUGAGAGGAUGAUCAGCCACACUGGGACUGAGACACGGCCCAGACUCCUGCGGGAGGCAGCAGUGGGGAAUAUUGGACAAUGGGGGCAACCCUGAUCCAGCCAUACCGCGUGGGUGAAGAAGGCCUUCUGGGUUGUAAAGCCCUUUUGUUGGGGAAGAAAAACAACGGGUUAAUACCCCGUUGGUAUGACGGUACCCAAAGAAUAAGCACCGGCUAACUUCGUGCCAGCAGCCGCGGUAAUACGAAGGGUGCAAGCGUUACUCGGAAUUACUGGGCGUAAAGGGUGCGUAGGUGGUUGCGCCAGUCUGUCGUGAAAGCCCUGGGCUUAACCUGGGAAUGGCGAUGGAAACUGUGCAGCUAGAGUGUGACAGAGGGUGGUGGAAUUCCUGGUGUAGCAGUGAAAUGCGUAGAGAUCAGGAGGAACAUUCGUGGCGAAGGCGGCCACCUGGGUCAACACUGACACUGAGGCACGAAAGCGUGGGGAGCAAACAGGAUUAGAUACCCUGGUAGUCCACGCCCUAAACGAUGCGAACUGGAUGUUGGGUCCAACUUGGGAUUCAGUAUCGAAGCUAACGCGUUAAGUUCGCCGCCUGGGGAGUACGGUCGCAAGACUGAAACUCAAAGGAAUUGACGGGGGCCCGCACAAGCGGUGGAGUAUGUGGUUUAAUUCGAUGCAACGCGCAGAACCUUACCUGGCCUUGACAUGCACGGGAGUCUUUAGAGAUAGAG